This 205-nucleotide long non-coding RNA is filed under the name Manihot esculenta (cassava). Its description in RNAcentral is "long non-coding RNA (MESC_LNC006691)". The record is from RNAcentral. Lineage: Eukaryota; Viridiplantae; Streptophyta; Magnoliopsida; Malpighiales; Euphorbiaceae.
AGUAAUAAUAAAAUUCAAUAAAUGUUAAAAUAAACAACGAGGGCAGGAAAAUGAAGAUUAAAAGACUGUCAAGAUAUUCUUGAACCGGCUGGGUCUUUCUUUUCAGCUAGGUUAUUCAGCUGGGUUAUUGUAAAUCUCCAGCUUUCUUUUCGCAUAAGCUUUCAUACCUCCAUGUGGAUCUCAAUGGGUGGAUUUAGGAACUCCG